GAUGAACGCUAGCGGCAGGCUUAAUACAUGCAAGUCAAGGGGGUAGCAAUACAACCGGCGCACGGGUGAGUAACGCGUACACAACAUACCAUAUACUGGGGUAUAGCUUUGGGAAACUGAAGGUAAUCCCCCAUAACAUUGCGAGAGGGCAUCUGAUUGCAAUUAAAGUUUCGGCGGUAUAUGAUUGGUGUGCGUUUGAUUAGCUAGUUGGUAGGGUAACGGCCUACCAAGGCGACGAUCAAUAGUUGGCGUGAGAGCGCGACCAGCCACACUGGAACUGAGACACGGUCCAGACUCCUACGGGAGGCAGCAGUAGGGAAUAUUGGACAAUGGGCGCAAGCCUGAUCCAGCCAUGCCGCGUGAUAGAUGAAGGCCCUCUGGGUUGUAAAUAUCUUUUAUCUGGGAAGAAACUCCUCUAUUCUUAGAGGCCUGACGGUACCAGAGGAAUAAGCACCGGCUAACUCCGUGCCAGCAGCCGCGGU
This 482-nucleotide ribosomal RNA is filed under the name uncultured bacterium. RNAcentral's name for it is "bacterial SSU rRNA". It matches the Rfam family "Bacterial small subunit ribosomal RNA", at positions 28 to 521 of the family's 1533-position model. The record is from RNAcentral.